GAUGAACGCUGGCGGCGUGCCUAAUACAUGCAAGUCGAGCGAACGGACGAGAAGCUUGCUUCUCUGAUGUUAGCGGCGGACGGGUGAGUAACACGUGGAUAACCUACCUAUAAGACUGGGAUAACUUCGGGAAACCGGAGCUAAUACCGGAUAAUAUUUUGAACCGCAUGGUUCAAAAGUGAAAGACGGUCUUGCUGUCACUUAUAGAUGGAUCCGCGCUGCAUUAGCUAGUUGGUAAGGUAACGGCUUACCAAGGCAACGAUGCAUAGCCGACCUGAGAGGGUGAUCGGCCACACUGGAACUGAGACACGGUCCAGACUCCUACGGGAGGCAGCAGUAGGGAAUCUUCCGCAAUGGGCGAAAGCCUGACGGAGCAACGCCGCGUGAGUGAUGAAGGUCUUCGGAUCGUAAAACUCUGUUAUUAGGGAAGAACAUAUGUGUAAGUAACUGUGCACAUCUUGACGGUACCUAAUCAGAAAGCCACGGCUAACUACGUGCCAGCAGCCGCGGUAAUACGUAGGUGGCAAGCGUUAUCCGGAAUUAUUGGGCGUAAAGCGCGCGUAGGCGGUUUUUUAAGUCUGAUGUGAAAGCCCACGGCUCAACCGUGGGGGGUCAUUGGAAACUGGAAAACUUGAGUGCAGAAGAGGAAAGUGGAAUUCCAUGUGUAGCGGUGAAAUGCUCAGAGAUAUGGAGGAACACCAGUGGCGAAGGCGACUUUCUGGUCUGUAACUGACGCUGAUGUGCGAAAGCGUGGGGAUCAAACAGGAUUAGAUACCCUGGUAGUCCACGCCGUAAACGAUGAGUGCUAAGUGUUAGGGGGUUUCCGCCCCUUAGUGCUGCAGCUAACGCAUUAAGCACUCCGCCUGGGGAGUACGACCGCAAGGUUGAAACUCAAAGGAAUUGACGGGGACCCGCACAAGCGGUGGAGCAUGUGGUUUAAUUCGAAGCAACGCGAAGAACCUUACCAAAUCUUGACAUCCUUUGACAACUCUAGAGAUAGAGCCUUCCCCUUCGGGGGACAAAGUGACAGGUGGUGCAUGGUUGUCGUCAGCUCGUGUCGUGAGAUGUUGGGUUAAGUCCCGCAACGAGCGCAACCCUUAAGCUUAGCUGCCAUCAUUAAGUUGGGCACUCUAAGUUGACUGCCGGUGACAAACCGGAGGAAGGUGGGGAUGACGUCAAAUCAUCAUGCCCCUUAUGAUUUGGGCUACACACGUGCUACAAUGGACAAUACAAAGGGCAGCGAAACCGCGAGGUCAAGCAAAUCCCAUAAAGUUGUUCUCAGUUCGGAUUGUAGUCUGCAACUCGACUACAUGAAGCUGGAAUCGCUAGUAAUCGUAGAUCAGCAUGCUACGGUGAAUACGUUCCCGGGUCU
Molecule: ribosomal RNA, 1372 nt
Filed under: uncultured bacterium
Lineage: Bacteria
Description: bacterial SSU rRNA
Rfam family: Bacterial small subunit ribosomal RNA
Source: RNAcentral